CUUGAGAAAGCCCUAACGGGAGACAUGCGUUGUGGAAAUUUUAACUAACUGUAUUUUAAUAAAGGUAUUUUGGCCACUUUCUUUGUUGUGAGUUAGCCAUUUUAUCUUUUUUACCAUUUUUAUUAUUUUACUACCUGGCAUCUGAGUUUUACUUGUUCCAGAGAGAUACUACUCCAAAGCAUCCUUGGUGGGGAUUAUACCACUUACGCCGUAUCAAUGAGCA
Non-coding RNA from Pelobates cultripes (western spadefoot toad), 223 nucleotides. The record is from the annotation of a GenBank genome assembly. Lineage: Eukaryota; Metazoa; Chordata; Amphibia; Anura; Pelobatidae.